RNAcentral lists this unclassified non-coding RNA (318 nucleotides) under rhizosphere metagenome. RNAcentral describes it as "partial ribosomal RNA internal transcribed spacer region". The record is from RNAcentral.
GUAGGUGAACCUGCGGAAGGAUCAUUAACACGUUUUCAACGUUAUGUGACUCUCCCUUAUUUUCCGUGCACAACCGGCCUCCUGACACUUUCCUCUCAGCUUGCUCUGUCUGCUGAUCGUGUCGGGCGUCUUUGGGGUACCAUAGCCGUUUUGAAGUUGCUUCAUUGCGAUCGAUCAACUGCUCCCGAGGGCGUCGCCAAACAACCCAAAAACUCCUUUAAUCUAACUGCUCUGAACUCUUUAGUUGGUACGGCUUCACCGCCUGUCUAACGAUUUAAAAACAAACAACAACUCUUAACAACGGAUAUCUUGGUUCUC